Molecule: ribosomal RNA, 323 nt
Filed under: uncultured Leptophryidae
Lineage: Eukaryota; Endomyxa; Vampyrellida; Leptophryidae
Description: SSU rRNA
Rfam family: Eukaryotic small subunit ribosomal RNA (bases 101-323)
Source: RNAcentral
AACUUCUGGUUCUUUAGUCUUGUCCCGUUCUCUUGUAGAACGUUGUGACGAGUCUUAGAACCUUCCUGGUUGAAAGCGCUUCUGCCCUUUAUUGGGUUGGUUGUGUGAUCUGCCUCUUUUACUGUGAGAAAAACAAAGUGCUCAAAGCAGGCUUUACAGCUUGAAUGCGUUAGCAUGGAAUAAUAAUCUAGGACUUUCGGUUCUAUUUUGUUGGUGUUCUGGAGCUGAAGUAAUGAUUGAUAGGGAUAGUUGGGGGUGCUAGUAUUCAAUGGCCAGAGGUGAAAUUCUCGGAUUCCUUGAAGACUAACUUAUGCGAAAGCAUU